Ribosomal RNA from Scophthalmus maximus (turbot), 119 nucleotides. The record is from Ensembl. Lineage: Eukaryota; Metazoa; Chordata; Actinopteri; Pleuronectiformes; Scophthalmidae.
GCUUACGGCCACACCGCCUGGUUCACGCACGAUCUCGUUUGAUCUCGGAAGAUAAGAUAGGGUGGGCCUGGUUAGUACCUGGAUGGGAGACCGCCUGGGAAUACCAGGUGCUGUAAGCU